This 255-nucleotide ribosomal RNA is filed under the name uncultured bacterium. RNAcentral describes it as "partial 16S ribosomal RNA". It matches the Rfam family "Bacterial small subunit ribosomal RNA", at positions 335 to 582 of the family's 1533-position model. The record is from RNAcentral.
UCGCCUACGGGAGGCAGCAGUAGGGAAUCUUCCACAAUGGACGAAAGUCUGAUGGAGCAACGCCGCGUGAGUGAAGAAGGGUUUCGGCUCGUAAAGCUUUGUUGGUAGUGAAGAAAGAUAGAGGUAGUAACUGGCCUUUAUUUGACGGUAAUUACUUAGAAAGUCACGGCUAACUACGUGCCAGCAGCCGCGGUAAUACGUAGGGGGCAAGCGUUGUCCGGAUUUAUUGGGCGUAAAGCGAGGGCAGGCCGUUUC